GUUAAACAAAGAAGUAGACAAAUAUCAGGGCAAAAUGUGGUCACAUGACCGUUGUAGAUAUAUAAAGACAUGUUCCACGAUUUCAUUAAAAUAUUCUUUUAGAAAGCUGGAGAGAACAGAAUAUAUUCAUCGAUAAAAAGAUGAAGUUCUGGACAUUUGUAAUGGCCUUGUUUCUUCUUAUUCUUCUUGUUGUAUCAGCGUCAGUUCAAGGAUCAACUACAACAAGUUCAGCUACAACAACUACAACGGAUAUCAAUACAUCGACUACACAGUCGCAAGGCGGGGCGAGUGCCGCGACAGCCUCGGGGAUGACCAUCCUCUCCUGGGCAUUGGUGUCCCUCUUCUUCUCACAGUGAUACACACAAUGAUGGUCUUCCAAUCAUCGCCUAACAGACUCUAGAGACACCACACAACACUGCAGGAAUGUUGUCUUACAACUUGUUUUCUUUCAUAUCUUUGUCGAUUUCGAUUUAGCAAAACCAUGAUUUUUACUUGUUUAGGAGAAAUCAGACUUUCAUAUUUAUAAAAGAUAGUCAGUUUUGUAGAUACUUUGAUGUACAUUUGUAUUAUCUGAUUUCCCCAGAAUCUUCUUUUGUAAAUAUUCCUUCGUCAUUUGAUAUGUGAUAAAUGACAGAUUUCAAUCUCA
Long non-coding RNA from Ostrea edulis (European flat oyster), 646 nucleotides. RefSeq lists it as uncharacterized. The record is from RefSeq and is a predicted model, not a curated record. The transcript has 3 exons. NCBI's taxonomy places the organism in Eukaryota, Metazoa, Mollusca, Bivalvia, Ostreida, Ostreidae.